RNAcentral lists this ribosomal RNA (529 nucleotides) under uncultured cyanobacterium. RNAcentral's name for it is "bacterial SSU rRNA". It matches the Rfam family "Bacterial small subunit ribosomal RNA", at positions 355 to 897 of the family's 1533-position model. The record is from RNAcentral. Lineage: Bacteria; Bacillati; Cyanobacteriota.
UGGGGAAUUUUCCGCAAUGGGCGAAAGCCUGACGGAGCAAUACCGCGUGAGGGAGGAAGGCUCUUGGGUUGUAAACCUCUUUUCUCAAGGAAGAACACAACGACGGUACUUGAGGAAUCAGCAUCGGCUAACUCCGUGCCAGCAGCCGCGGUAAUACGGAGGAUGCAAGCGUUAUCCGGAAUGAUUGGGCGUAAAGCGUCCGCAGGUGGUGAUGUAAGUCUGCUGUCAAAGCGUCUAGCUCAACUAGAUACAGGCAGUGGAAACUACAUGACUAGAGUGCGUUCGGGGCAGAGGGAAUUUCUGGUGUAGCGGCGAAAUGCGUAGAUAUCAGGAAGAACACCGGUGGCGAAAGCGCUCUGCUAGGCCGCAACUGACACUGAGGGACGAAAGCUAGGGGAGCGAAUGGGAUUAGAUACCCCAGUAGUCCUAGCCGUAAACGAUGGAUACUAGGCGUGGCUUGUAUCGACCCGAGCCGUGCCGUAGCUAACGCGUUAAGUAUCCCGCCUGGGGAGUACGCACGCAAGUGUGA